UUCUAUUACCAUUUCCACAAUUAUUUAUUGGAAUAAUUUGUUUAUGUUCGUUUUUUGCAUAAGAUACAUGUUGUGUGGCAAGCACAACAGAUACACUCGACCCGAGAAUGUUUUCCAUCCCAUCCUAUACAGGCCCAUAGGCCAGAUAUCGGAAAUAAAACUCGCCAUCUCCGUAUCGGUAAUCCUGUCUUUGCUCGCAACGGUAAUAGCCAAGUCAAAGAGUGGUCUUAUGGCAAAGAUGGCAAGAAGCGGUCACUUCUGCUUAUAGAAGUUACUUCCAAACUUUCCGGAUAGCGAAUUGAUGAAUUUUGGAGAAAGUUAAUGACUGGACGACCUAAUAGAAAAAUCCAAUGUUACUGGAAGACGUCGGACAAACCGGUGAAGACUCCCAGAUGCUCGGCGCAAAACAAUGCAGAAUUGGAACCUAAAAUAUCCCCCCGAGAUGUAAAUGAAAUUGGCCAAUUCGGAAAUUCUGAAGACUCCUUCAUGCCGAGUUUUAUACGACAAGAUACGACAUUAUUAUAAUUAUAUAAGCUAUUUUCAAUUUAUGUAUUCAUUCACUUUAAUAAACGUAAAUAAAAUUUGUAUUUUUUGCUUUGAAAACAAAAAAUGAUAAUAA
Armigeres subalbatus is the source of this 619-nucleotide long non-coding RNA. RefSeq lists it as uncharacterized. Lineage: Eukaryota; Metazoa; Arthropoda; Insecta; Diptera; Culicidae. The transcript is spliced from 2 exons. The record is from RefSeq and is a predicted model, not a curated record.